RNAcentral lists this long non-coding RNA (362 nucleotides) under Carica papaya (papaya). Its description in RNAcentral is "long non-coding RNA (CPAP_LNC002455)". The record is from RNAcentral. Lineage: Eukaryota; Viridiplantae; Streptophyta; Magnoliopsida; Brassicales; Caricaceae.
GUAUUUAUUGGCCGAUUGGCCGGUGGUUUGGCUCUGAUUUGGCCAUAGGCAUAUUCAACAUCGAAAAAUGAGCCAAGGGCAGAAAAUUUACCUCGUUUGGCGGUCAGAAAAUCCUCCGGUGCGGCGGCGGCCGGCUCCUCCGAUAACGGGUUCUUCUUCUCCGGUGAGGGUACUGGCGGCUAGGGUUUGGGGUUGGGUGUGGGUGAGGUUAUUUAUAACCUUCCCCUUUUAAUCUUAGCCAUCCAUCACGAUUUAUUCUGGGCCGUCCAAUCGCGAUUAAAAUGGGAAUAAAUCUGGGCUGUCUGUGUGUGAUUCAAUCUAAGCCGUCCGUGUGCGUGAGAUCUUGGCCGUUCGUACGCGUG